AAACUGCGAUACGUAAUGUGAAUUGCAGAACUCUGUGAAUCAUCUAACUUUUGAACGCAUCUUGCACUUGAAGGGUAAAAUCUUCAAGUAUGCCUGUUUGAGAACCAUUUUUCUUUCUCAUUUCAUCUCUCUUUCUGGGAGAAUGGUAUGGCCAUUUGAGUGUCAAUCUUUUUUGGUUUGUCACUUGAAAUGCAUUAAUUUCUUCGACCAAUUCAUUGGCAGCUUGAAUGGGGGAAUAUUAUUCAAUGAAAUGAUUUCCAAGUUUGUGAAGGUUUUUCAAUCUUUCUUACUUUGGUCUUUCAUUGAGAACUUUUAGUUCAAGCAAAUCAAAGCUUUGGUCUGAAAGGGGAAAAGAGGCCUAUUUUUACUCCUAGGCAAAAACAAAAAAGCAUGGUCUCAAAUCAGGUAAGAGUACCCACUGAAUUUAA
This 428-nucleotide unclassified non-coding RNA is filed under the name uncultured fungus. RNAcentral's name for it is "sequence contains ITS1". The stretch from base 1 to 107 matches the Rfam family "5.8S ribosomal RNA", at positions 50 to 154 of the family's 154-position model. The record is from RNAcentral. Lineage: Eukaryota; Fungi.